CCCGCUGAACUUAAGCAUAUCAAUAAGCGGAGGAAAAGAAACCAACCGGGAUUGCCUCAGUAACGGCGAGUGAAGCGGCAAGAGCUCAAAUUUGAAAUCUGGCCCCUCCCGGGGCCCGAGUUGUAAUUUGGAGAGGAUGCUUCGGGGCCGGCCCCGGUCCAAGUGCUCUGGGAUGGGCCGUCGGAGAGGGGGAGAAUCCCGUCUGCAAGCGGGGGCUGGCCCUGGGAGAAGCUCCCUCGACGAGUCGAGUUGUUUGGGAAUGCAGCUCUAAAUGGGUGGUAAAUUUCAUCUAAAGCUAAAUAUUGGCGAGAGACCGAUAGCGAACAAGUACCGUGAGGGAAAGAUGAAAAGCACUUUGGAAAGAGAGUGAAACAGUGCGUGAAAUUGUUGAGAGGGAAGCGCUAGAAGUCAGGCGCGUCGUCCGAGAGUCAGCGUCGUCUCAGGCAUGGUGUACUUCUCGGACGACGGGCACAGCAUCAAUUUUGCCCCUUGUAUAAUAGCGAGGGAAAUGUGACACCUUUGCGGGCGUGAUAUAGUCUCUAGUCGCGUGCCACGCUCGGGAUUGAGGAACUCAUCACGCGACUACGCUCGUGGGGUGUCGCCCACCAUACGUGCUUAGGACGUUGAAGGAAUGACUCUCAACGACCCGUCUUGAAACACGG
RNAcentral lists this ribosomal RNA (662 nucleotides) under uncultured fungus. RNAcentral describes it as "eukaryotic LSU rRNA". It matches the Rfam family "Eukaryotic large subunit ribosomal RNA", at positions 24 to 664 of the family's 3401-position model. Lineage: Eukaryota; Fungi. The record is from RNAcentral.